UGCAGUCGACGGANGGCCUCUUCGGAGGUACUCGAGUGGCGAACGGGUGAGUAACACGUGGGUAAUCUGCCCUGCACUUCGGGAUAAGCCUGGGAAACUGGGUCUAAUACCGGAUAGGACCUUUUGGCGCAUGCCUUUUGGUGGAAAGCUUUUGCGGUGUGGGAUGGGCCCGCGGCCUAUCAGCUUGUUGGUGGGGUGACGGCCUACCAAGGCGACGACGGGUAGCCGGCCUGAGAGGGUGUCCGGCCACACUGGGACUGAGAUACGGCCCAGACUCCUACGGGAGGCAGCAGUGGGGAAUAUUGCACAAUGGGCGCAAGCCUGAUGCAGCGACGCCGCGUGGGGGAUGACGGCCUUCGGGUUGUAAACCUCUUUCAGCAGGGACGAAGCGCAAGUGACGGUACCUGCAGAAGAAGCACCGGCCAACUACGUGCCAGCAGCCGCGGUAAUACGUAGGGUGCGAGCGUUGUCCGGAAUUACUGGGCGUAAAGAGCUCGUAGGUGGUUUGUCGCGUUGUUCGUGAAAACCGGGGGCUUAACCCUCGGCGUGCGGGCGAUACGGGCAGACUGGAGUACUGCAGGGGAGACUGGAAUUCCUGGUGUAGCGGUGGAAUGCGCAGAUAUCAGGAGGAACACCGGUGGCGAAGGCGGGUCUCUGGGCAGUAACUGACGCUGAGGAGCGAAAGCGUGGGGAGCGAACAGGAUUAGAUACCCUGGUAGUCCACGCCGUAAACGGUGGGUACUAGGUGUGGGUUUCCUUCCUUGGAAUCCGUGCCGUAGCUAACGCAUUAAGUACCCCGCCUGGGGAGUACGGCCGCAAGGCUAAAACUCAAAGGAAUUGACGGGGGCCCGCACAAGCGGCGGAGCAUGUGGAUUAAUUCGAUGCAACGCGAAGAACCUUACCUGGGUUUGACAUGCACAGGACGCCGGCAGAGAUGUCGGUUCCCUUGUGGCCUGUGUGCAGGUGGUGCAUGGCUGUCGUCAGCUCGUGUCGUGAGAUGUUGGGUUAAGUCCCGCAACGAGCGCAACCCUUGUCUCAUGUUGCCAGCGGGUAAUGCCGGGGACUCGUGAGAGACUGCCGGGGUCAACUCGGAGGAAGGUGGGGAUGACGUCAAGUCAUCAUGCCCCUUAUGUCCAGGGCUUCACACAUGCUACAAUGGCCGGUACAAAGGGCUGCGAUGCCGUAAGGUUAAGCKWAUMCUUUUAAMRCYSGWCUSRGUUCGSAUCGGRSYCUGCAACUCGACCCCSUGAAGUCGGARUCGCUAGUAAUCGCAGAUCMGCAACGCUGCGGUGAAUACGUKCCCGGGCCUUGUACRCACCGCCCGUCACGUCAUGAAAGUCGGUAACACCCGAAGCCRGUGGCCU
Molecule: ribosomal RNA, 1364 nt
Filed under: Mycobacterium lentiflavum
Lineage: Bacteria; Bacillati; Actinomycetota; Actinomycetes; Mycobacteriales; Mycobacteriaceae
Description: bacterial SSU rRNA
Rfam family: Bacterial small subunit ribosomal RNA
Source: RNAcentral